Molecule: long non-coding RNA, 3108 nt
Organism: Pan troglodytes (chimpanzee)
Lineage: Eukaryota; Metazoa; Chordata; Mammalia; Primates; Hominidae
Exons: 5
Source: RefSeq, a predicted model, not a curated record
CGGGCGGGCGACGCGCGGGGGGAGAAGGAGAGCGAGAGCGCGAGGAAAAAAGUUCCCGGGCGGCCUGGCUGCGCUCGCUCGCGGCCCCGGGCGCCAGGUGGGCCGUGCGCGCCCCGACAGCACCCCCUGGCGGUCUGCGCGCCCCACUGCGCGCCCCCCGCCCGCCGGCCGGCCUGCGGGAGGGGGCCUCUGCGGUGGGAUCCCGGUGCGGCCUGGGAGGACUCUAGCGCCCUGCGUACAGGAGCUUCCAGCGUCAGGCCAGGUCCCCACCCUCACCCCACCAUUAGCCCUCACCUGUGCCCACUUCUUUGCAGUUUGAGAAACAUUUUCGAUUUCAAAACUCCAUUGGCUUCAUGUAAACUUCAUUUACUGGGCACCUGGCACCUUGCUGAGUCUUGAGGAAUCAGCAGAGACAAUGCGGUCCCUGCUGUCGUGGAGCUGGCAUCCUGGUGGGAAGAGACAGACAGCAAACAAAUGCUUAGAUACAUGACGAAGAUAAUUUUAGAGCAGUAAGUGCUAGGACGAAAAUUAGCAGGUGAAGUGACGGCUAGGGCUCCUUGGCUGGGGGAGAGAGAAGGAGGCCUGUCUGUGCAAAGAUCUAAAUAGCAAGAGGAACCGCCAUGGGUAGAGUCUGGGAAGAGCAUUUUGUUCUUUUAGGGGCAGGGUCUUGCUGUGUUGCCCAGGCCGAACUUGAAUUCCUGGCCUCAAACAGUCCUCCCACCUCAGCCUUCUGAGUAGCUGGGACUACAGGGGCCUGCCCUCCUGGGAAGAGCAUCACUGGCAGAAAGAACAUCAAGUGCAAAGGUCCUGAGGCAGGAGAGAACUUGGGCAGAGGGGAGCUGGUCAAGGCAUCAGAGCUUGUGGGUGACCUGGGACAAGUGAAUCCUGCAUCUGCAAAAUAAGAUAAGAAAAUCAAGGCUCAGAGAGGUGAAGUCACUGAUCCAAAGUCACACAGCAGGUCAAAAGGAGAUCAUGUUUCCUGCCUGGAGGAGAGGCCCCGGUGGACUGGAAUAGGGGAAAGUGGAGGGGGUGUAUUUCAGGAUAGAAUCCUGCACCCUGCCAGGGACCACGCUUAUCCUUGGCUCACUCAAUAGGAUGCAAGGGCGUUUACUGUGGCCAGGUCUUGUGAGUGCCCAGAGCCCUGUGGCAAGAGGCCUCUGCCAGGGAAAGGGAUGCAGGGAAGUGGAGGCAGUGAUGGGGAAGCAGAGCCAGGAGAGACCCUUGGGCUUCCUUCCUUCAAGGCCUCUGGUCUCUAGCAGAGAGAAGAGAGGGAGCAGGUGAGAGCCCCGCUUAGCUCUAGGCAAUAUUUUUUUUUUUCAGACAGGAUCCCACUCUGUCACCCAGGCUGGAGUGCAGUGGCACAAUCAUGACUCACUGCAGCCUCAACCUCCCAAGCUCAAGCAACGCUCCCAUCUCAGCCUCCCAAGCUCAAGCAACGCUCCCAUCUCAGCCUCCCAAGCUCAAGCGACGCUCCCAUCUCAGCCUCCCAAGCUCAAGCGACGCUCCCAUCUCAGCCUCCCAAGUUGCUCGGACUACAGGUGCACGCUAUCACGCCCAGCUAAUUUUUGUAUUUUUUGUAGAGAUGGGUUUUUGCCAUGUUGCUCAGGCUGGUCUUGAACUCCUGAGUUAAGUGAUCUGCCUUGCCUACCUUGGCCUCCCAUAGUGCUGGGAUUAUAGGCAUGAGCCACUGUGCAUGGCCAACUCCAGGCAAAUUUGAUCACCACAGAGAGGGGAAUUCUGUCCAGUUCCAGGGAUGCCCCUUAAGGGGUCCCAGACCAGCUGGGCCAGAGCCAGACAGGCCUCACUAAGAUCUUCCAUUCAUUCAUUCAAUACAUAUUUAUCGAGCCCAACUUCAUUCUUUUUUUUGUUUUUGUUUUUGUUUUUUGGGUUGGAGUCUCGCUUUGUCACCUAGGCUGGAGUGUGGUGGCACAGUCUUGGCUCACUGCAACCUCCGCCUCCCGGGUUCAAGCAAUUCUCUGCCUCAGCCUUCUGAGUAGCUGGGAUUACAGGCACCUGCCACCACGCCCGGCUAAUUUUUGUAUUUUUAGUAGAGACGGGGUUUCACCAUAUUGGCCAGGCUGGUCUUGAACUCCUGACCUUGUGAUCCACCCGCUUCGGCCUCCCAAAGUGCUGGGAUUACAGGCAUGAGCCACUGCGUGCAGCCGAGCCAAACCUCAUUCUAGAUUCCAUCUCCAGGAAUAAUGAUGUGGGACCCACCACACAGCCCCCAUAGUCUGGCAAGUGAGACAGACAUUGAACCCACUCUAAAGAAGGGUCUCAUUAUCCCAAGAAAAAGACCACUUUGACCACAAGUCAAAGCUCUGGGAACCAACAUUUCUUAGUAAUUGGGAAAAAAAUGUUUAAUUGGAAUUUUGUUUUGAAAAAUGAAAUUUAAACUAUGAAAAUAUACACAUUUUAUUUUCCACAAACAACAUUUAGGUUAAUAUGCUAAUUCUUAGAUUAAUGUGCUAAUACUUAGUGUUAUGGUUUGACUGUCCCCUCCAAAACUUAUGAUGAAAUUUAUUUAUUUAUUUAUUUUUAGAUGGAGUUUUGUUCUUGUCACCCAGGCUGGAGUGCAAUGGCAUGAUCUCGGCUAAGUGCAACUCCUGCCUCCUGGGUUCAAGCAAUUCUCCUGCCUUAGCCUUUUGAGUAGCUGGGAUUACAAGUGGCCACCCCUACACCCAGCUAAUUUUUAUAUUUUUAGUAGAGACAAGGUUUCACCAUUUUGGCCACGAUGGUCUUGAACUCCUGACCUCAAGUGAUCUGCCUUCCUUGGCCUCCCAAAGUGCUGGGAUUACAGUGGUGAGCCAUCAUGCCCGGGUGAUUUAUGAUGAAAUUUAAUUGCCAUUGUGAAGGUAUUAAGAGGUGGGACUAUUAAGAAGUGAUUAGGUCAUAAGGGCAAAACCCUCAUGAAUGGAUUAAUCUCUUUAUUGAAGGAGUGAUCUCAUUAUCAAGACACUGGAUUUAUUGUAAAAAUGAGUUCAGCUCUCUCUUGCUCACUGUCUAGUGCUCUCUUGCCCUUCUGCCUUCCACCAUGGGAUGAUACAGCAUGAAGACCCCCACCAGAUGCUGGUGCCAUACUCUUGGACUUCCCAGUCUUCAGAAGCA